AAACCAACCGGGAUUGCCUCAGUAACGGCGAGUGAAGCGGCAAAAGCUCAAAUUUGAAAUCUGGCACUUUCAGUGUCCGAGUUGUAAUUUGUAGAAGUAGUUUUGGGACUGGUCCUUAUCUAUGUUUCUUGGAACAGGACGUCAUAGAGGGUGAGAACCCCGUAUGAUGAGGCCCCCAGUCCUUUGUAAAACGCUUUCGAAGAGUCGAGUUGUUUGGGAAUGCAGCUCUAAGUGGGUGGUAAAUUCCAUCUAAAGCUAAAUAUUGGCGAGAGACCGAUAGCGAACAAGUACAGUGAUGGAAAGAUGAAAAGAACUUUGAAAAGAGAGUGAAAAAGUACGUGAAAUUGUUGAAAGGGAAGGGCAUUUGAUCAGACAUGGUGUUUUGCGCCCUUUGCUCCUUGUGGGCGGAGGAUACGCAGCUCACUGGGCCAACAUCAGUUUUGGGAGCAGGAUAAAUCUGUAGGAACGUAGCUUUCUUCGGGGAAUGUUAUAGCCUAUGGGAAUACUGCUACCUGGGA
RNAcentral lists this ribosomal RNA (518 nucleotides) under uncultured Hanseniaspora. RNAcentral describes it as "eukaryotic LSU rRNA". It matches the Rfam family "Eukaryotic large subunit ribosomal RNA", at positions 62 to 586 of the family's 3401-position model. The record is from RNAcentral. Lineage: Eukaryota; Fungi; Ascomycota; Saccharomycetes; Saccharomycodales; Saccharomycodaceae.